AACGAACGCUGGCGGCAUGCCUAACACAUGCAAAUCGAACGAGACCUUCGGGUCUAGUGGCGCACGGGUGCGUAACGCGUGGGAACCUGCCCUUAGGUUCGGAAUAACUCCCCGAAAGGGGUGCAAAUACCGGAUAAUGUCUUCGGACCAAAGAUUUAUCGCCUUUGGAUGGGCCCGCGUUGGAUUAGCUAGUUGGUAGGGUAAAAGCCUACCAAGGCGACGAUCCAUAGCUGGUCUGAGAGGAUGAUCAGCCACACUGGGACUGAGACACGGCCCAGACUCCUACGGGAGGCAGCAGUGGGGAAUAUUGGACAAUGGGCGAAAGCCUGAUCCAGCAAUGCCGCGUGAGUGAUGAAGGCCUUAGGGUUGUAAAGCUCUUUUACCCGGGAUGAUAAUGACAGUACCGGGAGAAUAAGCUCCGGCUAACUCCGUG
RNAcentral lists this ribosomal RNA (433 nucleotides) under uncultured bacterium. RNAcentral's name for it is "partial 16S ribosomal RNA". It matches the Rfam family "Bacterial small subunit ribosomal RNA", at positions 29 to 507 of the family's 1533-position model. The record is from RNAcentral.